Transfer RNA from Cyphellophora europaea CBS 101466, 72 nucleotides. It matches the Rfam family "tRNA". Rfam says of the family: Transfer RNA (tRNA) molecules are approximately 80 nucleotides in length. The record is from Rfam. NCBI's taxonomy places the organism in Eukaryota, Fungi, Ascomycota, Eurotiomycetes, Chaetothyriales, Cyphellophoraceae.
GCGUCGAUGGUCUAAUGGUUAGGAUUGGUGCCUUCCAAGCACUAGGUUCGGGUUCGAUUCCCGAUCGACGCA